UACGUAGGUGGCGAGCGUUGUUCGGAUUUAUUGAGCGUAAAGGGUCCGUAGGCGGCCUGGAAAGUCGGAUGUGAAAUCCCACAGCUUAACUGUGGAACUGCAUUCGAAACUUCUAGGCUCGAGUGUGAUAGGGGUAAAGGGAAUUCCCGGUGUAAGGGUGAAAUCUGCAGAGAUCGGGAGGAACACCAGUCGCGAAGGCGCUUUACUGGAUCACUACUGACGCUGAGGGACAAAAGCCAGGGGAGCAAACGGG
Molecule: ribosomal RNA, 253 nt
Filed under: uncultured bacterium
Lineage: Bacteria
Description: partial 16S ribosomal RNA
Rfam family: Bacterial small subunit ribosomal RNA
Source: RNAcentral